RNAcentral lists this ribosomal RNA (273 nucleotides) under uncultured bacterium. RNAcentral describes it as "partial 16S ribosomal RNA". It matches the Rfam family "Bacterial small subunit ribosomal RNA", at positions 524 to 796 of the family's 1533-position model. The record is from RNAcentral.
UACGAAGGGGGCUAGCGUUGUUCGGAUUUACUGGGCGUAAAGCGCACGUAGGCGGGUCGUUAAGUCGGGGGUGAAAUCCUGGGGCUCAACCUCAGAACUGCCUUCGAUACUGGCGACCUCGAGUCCGGGAGAGGUGAGUGGAACUCCGAGUGUAGAGGUGAAAUUCGUAGAUAUUCGGAAGAACACCAGUGGCGAAGGCGGCUCACUGGCCCGGUACUGACGCUGAGGUGCGAAAGCGUGGGGAGCAAACAGGAUUAGAUACCCCCGUAGUCC